CGGUAACAGGGGUGCUUGCACCCGCUGACGAGCGGCGAACGGGUGAGUAACGCGUAGGAAUCUACCUGAUAGAGGGGGAUAGCCCGGCGAAAGCCGGAUUAAUACCGCAUACGCCCUACGGGGGAAAGCAGGGGAUCUUCGGACCUUGCACUAUCAGAUGAGCCUGCGUCGGAUUAGCUAGUUGGUAGGGUAAAGGCCUACCAAGGCGACGAUCCGUAGCUGGUCUGAGAGGAUGAUCAGCCACACUGGAACUGAGACACGGUCCAGACUCCUACGGGAGGCAGCAGUGGGGAAUAUUGGACAAUGGGGGCAACCCUGAUCCAGCCAUGCCGCGUGUGUGAAGAAGGCCUUCGGGUUGUAAAGCACUUUAAGCAGGGAGGAACGGGUGAUGGUUAAUACCCAUCAUUUUUGACGUUACCUGCAGAAUAAGCACCGGCUAACUUCGUGCCAGCAGCCGCGGUAAUACGAAGGGUGCAAGCGUUAAUCGGAAUUACUGGGCGUAAAGCGCGCGUAGGCGGUUUGGUCAGUUGGAUGUGAAAGCCCCGGGCUCAACCUGGGAACUGCAUCCAAUACUGCCAGGCUAGAGUACGGGAGAGGGGGGUAGAAUUCCACGUGUAGCGGUGAAAUGCGUAGAGAUGUGGAGGAAUACCGGUGGCGAAGGCGGCCCCCUGGAUCGAUACUGACGCUGAGGUGCGAAAGCGUGGGGA
Molecule: ribosomal RNA, 707 nt
Filed under: uncultured Pseudomonadota bacterium
Lineage: Bacteria; Pseudomonadati; Pseudomonadota
Description: bacterial SSU rRNA
Rfam family: Bacterial small subunit ribosomal RNA
Source: RNAcentral